UAGUCCACGCCGUAAACGAUGGGCACUAAGUGUCGGCAGGUUACUGUCGGUGCCGCAGCUAACGCAGUAAGUGCCCCGCCUGGGGAGUACGGCCACAAGGUUGAAACUCAAAGGAAUUGACGGGGGCCCGCACAAGCGGUGGAGCAUGUGGUUUAAUUCGACGCAACGCGAAGAACCUUACCCAGGUUAGACACGCUUGUAGUAAAAAGCUGAAAGGCUGAUGAGCCCGAAAGGGCAGCUUGCGCAGGUGCUGCAUGGCUGUCGUCAGCUCGUGCCGUGAGGUGUUGGGUUAAGUCCCGCAACGAGCGUAACCCCUGUCUUCAGUUGCUACCGGGUGAUGCCGGGCACUCUGAAGAAACUGCCCAGGAUAACGGGGAGGAAGGUGGGGAUGACGUCAAGUCAGCAUGGCCUUUAUGCCUGGGGCUACGACACGUGCUACAAUGACCGGUACAAAGGGCUGCGAUCCUGCAAAGGUGAGCUAAUCCAAAAACCGGCCUCAGUUCAGAUUGGGGU
This 513-nucleotide ribosomal RNA is filed under the name uncultured bacterium. RNAcentral's name for it is "bacterial SSU rRNA". It matches the Rfam family "Bacterial small subunit ribosomal RNA", at positions 791 to 1304 of the family's 1533-position model. The record is from RNAcentral.